GUCCUUUCGGGGAGCCCGGAGACAGGUGCUGCAUGGCUGUCGUCAGCUCGUGUCGUGAGAUGUUGGGUUAAGUCCCGCAACGAGCGCAACCCUCGUCGUGUGUUAUACGUGUCACACGAUACUGCCGGUAUCAAGCCGGAGGAAGGUGGGAUGAUGUCAAGUCAGCAUGGCCUUUAUAUCCUGGGCUACACACACGCUACAAUGGCAGAUACAAUAGGUCGCUAAACCGCGAGGUGGAGCCAAUCCUCAAAGUCUGUCUCAGUUCAGAUUGUAGGCUGCAACUCGCCUGCAUGAAGUCGGAGUUGCUAGUAAACGCAGGUCAGCUAUACUGCGUUGAAUACGUUCCCGGGGUUU
This 354-nucleotide ribosomal RNA is filed under the name uncultured Leptolinea sp. RNAcentral's name for it is "bacterial SSU rRNA". It matches the Rfam family "Bacterial small subunit ribosomal RNA", at positions 1014 to 1382 of the family's 1533-position model. The record is from RNAcentral. Lineage: Bacteria; Bacillati; Chloroflexota; Anaerolineae; Anaerolineales; Anaerolineaceae.